ACUCCGGUAGUAUAACUACAACUCCUAAAUACAUUGCUUUUUCAUAGCAGAGAUCUAUCCACUAGUCAGAGAG
RNAcentral lists this transfer RNA (73 nucleotides) under Salpa fusiformis. Its description in RNAcentral is "tRNA-Glu". Lineage: Eukaryota; Metazoa; Chordata; Thaliacea; Salpida; Salpidae. The record is from RNAcentral.